GACGAACGCUGGCGGCGUGCCUAAUACAUGCAAGUAGAACGCACAGUUUAUACCGUAGCUUGCUACACCAUAGACUGUGAGUUGCGAACGGGUGAGUAACGCGUAGGUAACCUGCCUGGUAGCGGGGGAUAACUAUUGGAAACGAUAGCUAAUACCGCAUAAUAUUAAUUAUUGCAUGAUAAUUAAUUGAAAGGUGCAAUUGCACCACUACCAGAUGGACCUGCGUUGUAUUAGCUAGUAGGUGAGGUAACGGCUCACCUAGGCGACGAUACAUAGCCGACCUGAGAGGGUGAUCGGCCAACCUGGGACUGGGACACGGCCCAGACUCCUACGGGAGGCAGCAGUAGGGAAUCUUCGGCAAUGGACGAAAGUCUGACCGAGCAACGCCGCGUGAGUGAAGAAGGUUUUCGGAUCGUAAAGCUCUGUUGUAAGAGAAGAACGGGUGUGAGAGUGGAAAGUUCACACUGUGACGGUAUCUUACCAGAAAGGGACGGCUAACUACGUG
RNAcentral lists this ribosomal RNA (505 nucleotides) under uncultured bacterium. Its description in RNAcentral is "partial 16S ribosomal RNA". It matches the Rfam family "Bacterial small subunit ribosomal RNA", at positions 28 to 507 of the family's 1533-position model. The record is from RNAcentral.